The sequence is a ribosomal RNA, 404 nucleotides long. It matches the Rfam family "Bacterial small subunit ribosomal RNA", at positions 355 to 774 of the family's 1533-position model.
UGGGGGAUAUUGCGCAAUGGGGGAAACCCUGACGCAGCAACGCCGCGUGAAGGAUGAAGGUCUUCGGAUUGUAAACUUUUGUCCUUGGGGAAGAAUAAAUGACGGUACCCAAGGAGGAAGCUCCGGCUAACUACGUGCCAGCAGCCGCGGUAAUACGUAGGGAGCAAGCGUUGUCCGGAUUUACUGGGUGUAAAGGGCGUGUAGGCGGGUAGGUAAGUUAGAUGUGAAAUUUAUGGGCUCAACCCAUAACCUGCAUUUAAAACUGCCAAUCUUGAGUGUCGGAGAGGAAAGCGGAAUUCCUAGUGUAGCGGUGAAAUGCGUAGAUAUUAGGAGGAACACCAGUGGCGAAGGCGGCUUUCUGGACGAUAACUGACGCUGAGGCGCGAAAGUGUGGGGAGCAAACA